AGCUCCAAUGGCGUAUAUUAAAGUUGCUGCGGUUAAAAAGCUCGUAGUUGGAAUUCUGCUGAGGAAGACUGGUCCGCCCUCUGGGUGAGUAUCUAGUUCGGCCUGGGCAUAUUCUUGGAGAAUGUGGUUGCGCUUGGCUGUGUGGUGCAGUAUCCAGGACCUGUACUUUGAGGAAAUUAGAGUGUUUCAAGCAGGCCCAUGCCUUGUAUAUGUUAGCAUGGAAUACUAUAAUGGGACCCUAGUUCUAUUUUGUUGGUUCCUAGAUCUGAGGUAACGAUUAGUAGGGAUAGUUGGGGGUGUUCGUACUUGACUGUCAGAGGUGAAAUUCUUGGAUUUGUUAAAGACGGACAACUGCGAAAGCAUUUGCCAAGGAUGUUCUCG
RNAcentral lists this ribosomal RNA (381 nucleotides) under uncultured eukaryote. Its description in RNAcentral is "SSU rRNA". It matches the Rfam family "Eukaryotic small subunit ribosomal RNA", at positions 587 to 972 of the family's 1831-position model. The record is from RNAcentral.